RNAcentral lists this transfer RNA (65 nucleotides) under Cipangopaludina ussuriensis. RNAcentral describes it as "tRNA-Met". The record is from RNAcentral. Lineage: Eukaryota; Metazoa; Mollusca; Gastropoda; Architaenioglossa; Viviparidae.
UGUAAAAUAAGCUAAUUAGAAAGCUGUUGGGCUCAUACCUCAAAAAUGAAUUAAUUCUUUUACAU